GUGAGUGUAGCUCAGCUGGUUAGAGCGCCUGACUGUGGAUCAGGAGGUCGAGGGUUCAAAUCCCUUCACUCACC
This 74-nucleotide transfer RNA is filed under the name bacterium. Its description in RNAcentral is "tRNA-His". It matches the Rfam family "tRNA". From Rfam's summary of the family: Transfer RNA (tRNA) molecules are approximately 80 nucleotides in length. Their secondary structure includes four short double-helical elements and three loops (D, anti-codon, and T loops). Further hydrogen bonds mediate the characteristic L-shaped molecular structure. tRNAs have two regions of fundamental functional importance: the anti-codon, which is responsible for specific mRNA codon recognition, and the 3' end, to which the tRNAs corresponding amino acid is attached (by aminoacyl-tRNA synthetases). tRNAs cope with the degeneracy of the genetic code in two manners: having more than one tRNA (with a specific anti-codon) for a particular amino acid; and 'wobble' base-pairing, i.e. permitting non-standard base-pairing at the 3rd anti-codon position. The record is from RNAcentral. RNAcentral also lists the same sequence under 1 other name.